RNAcentral lists this transfer RNA (61 nucleotides) under Camelus bactrianus (Bactrian camel). It matches the Rfam family "tRNA", at positions 6 to 65 of the family's 71-position model. Rfam says of the family: Transfer RNA (tRNA) molecules are approximately 80 nucleotides in length. Their secondary structure includes four short double-helical elements and three loops (D, anti-codon, and T loops). Further hydrogen bonds mediate the characteristic L-shaped molecular structure. tRNAs have two regions of fundamental functional importance: the anti-codon, which is responsible for specific mRNA codon recognition, and the 3' end, to which the tRNAs corresponding amino acid is attached (by aminoacyl-tRNA synthetases). tRNAs cope with the degeneracy of the genetic code in two manners: having more than one tRNA (with a specific anti-codon) for a particular amino acid; and 'wobble' base-pairing, i.e. permitting non-standard base-pairing at the 3rd anti-codon position. The record is from Rfam by way of RNAcentral. Lineage: Eukaryota; Metazoa; Chordata; Mammalia; Artiodactyla; Camelidae. RNAcentral also lists the same sequence under 3 other names.
UAUGGCUCAGUGGUAGAGCACAUGCUUAGCAUGCACAAGGUCCUGGGUUCAAUCCCCAGUA